RNAcentral lists this ribosomal RNA (480 nucleotides) under Staphylococcus aureus. RNAcentral's name for it is "partial 23S ribosomal RNA". It matches the Rfam family "Bacterial large subunit ribosomal RNA", at positions 517 to 999 of the family's 2925-position model. Lineage: Bacteria; Bacillati; Bacillota; Bacilli; Caryophanales; Staphylococcaceae. The record is from RNAcentral.
AAAAGCACCCCGGAAGGGGAGUGAAAUAGAACCUGAAACCGUGUGCUUACAAGUAGUCAGAGCCCGUUAAUGGGUGAUGGCGUGCCUUUUGUAGAAUGAACCGGCGAGUUACGAUUUGAUGCAAGGUUAAGCAGUAAAUGUGGAGCCGUAGCGAAAGCGAGUCUGAAUAGGGCGUUUAGUAUUUGGUCGUAGACCCGAAACCAGGUGAUCUACCCUUGGUCAGGUUGAAGUUCAGGUAACACUGAAUGGAGGACCGAACCGACUUACGUUGAAAAGUGAGCGGAUGAACUGAGGGUAGCGGAGAAAUUCCAAUCGAACCUGGAGAUAGCUGGUUCUCUCCGAAAUAGCUUUAGGGCUAGCCUCAAGUGAUGAUUAUUGGAGGUAGAGCACUGUUUGGACGAGGGGCCCCUCUCGGGUUACCGAAUUCAGACAAACUCCGAAUGCCAAUUAAUUUAACUUGGGAGUCAGAACAUGGGUGAU